GUAGGUGGCAAGCGUUGUCCGGAAUUAUUGGGCGUAAAGCGCGCGCAGGCGGUCCUUUAAGUCUGAUGUGAAAGCCCACGGCUCAACCGUGGAGGGUCAUUGGAAACUGGGGGACUUGAGUACAGAAGAGGAAAGCGGAAUUCCAAGUGUAGCGGUGAAAUGCGUAGAGAUUUGGAGGAACACCAGUGGCGAAGGCGGCUUUCUGGUCUGUAACUGACGCUGAGGCGCGAAAGCGUGGGGAGCAAACAGGGAUUAGAUACCCUGGUAGUCCACGCCGUAAACGAUGAGUGCUAAGUGUUAGGGGGGUUUCCGCCCCCUUAGCGCUGCAGCUAACGCAUUAAGCACUCCGCCUGGAGAGUACGGCCGCAAGGCUG
RNAcentral lists this ribosomal RNA (374 nucleotides) under uncultured organism. Its description in RNAcentral is "partial 16S ribosomal RNA". It matches the Rfam family "Bacterial small subunit ribosomal RNA", at positions 527 to 896 of the family's 1533-position model. The record is from RNAcentral.